CCUACGGGAGGCAGCAGUGGGGAAUAUUGGGCAAUGGAGGAAACUCUGACCCAGCAACGCCGCGUGAGUGAUGAAGGUCUUCGGAUUGUAAAGCUCUUUUCUAAGGGAAGAAGAAAGUGACGGUACCUUAGGAAUAAGCCUCGGCUAACUACGUGCCAGCAGCCGCGGUAAUACGUAGGAGGCAAGCGCUACCCGGAAUGACGGGGCGAAGGGUUGCCGAGGGGGGUUGACAAGUUGGUAGCGUAACUCCGGGGCUCAACCUCGGCACUACUAACCAAACUGUCGGACUUGAGUGCAGGAGGGGCAAAUGGAAUUCCUAGUGUAGCGGUGGAAUGCGUAGAUAUUAGGAGGAACACCAGUGGCGAAGGCGAUUUGCUGGACUGUAACUGACACUGAGGCACGAAAGCGUGGGGAGCAAACAGGAUUAGAUACCCCUGUAGUC
Molecule: ribosomal RNA, 442 nt
Filed under: uncultured bacterium
Lineage: Bacteria
Description: partial 16S ribosomal RNA
Rfam family: Bacterial small subunit ribosomal RNA
Source: RNAcentral